Long non-coding RNA from Mytilus californianus (California mussel), 785 nucleotides. RefSeq lists it as uncharacterized. The record is from RefSeq and is a predicted model, not a curated record. The transcript is spliced from 3 exons. Lineage: Eukaryota; Metazoa; Mollusca; Bivalvia; Mytilida; Mytilidae.
AGCAUUACAAGGUAUGGUUUGAUAUCUUUGAAGCAUUACAAGGUAUGGUUUGAUAUCUUUGAAGCAUUACAAGGUAUGGUUUGAUAUCUUUGAAGCAUUACAAGGUAUGGUUUGAUAUCUUUGAAGCAUUACAAGGUAUGGUUUGAUAUUAUCCUAGAUGAUAUCUGAUGUGAUCAGUUGUUAAUAUGAAGUAGGAAAUUUUCUCAAAGGGGUCAUAUUUGUAAAUUUCACAAUUAACAUAAAAAUGUGAAAAUUUCCUUUCACAUAAAUUUGAUCUUCAUGAAAGGUCAUAGUUAAGGACAAGAAAAAAGCGAAAUAAAACCUCAGGAAACGGUUUUUCAUUCGCAAUCAUGAAAUUUAAACCCAGCAAAACCAAACCACUUAACUGAAAUCUAUUUUGAAUUGCAUGUGGUCAGUUUAUUAGGCUAGGUUUAUCUCAUCUGCUUGUGCUGUCUAUUUGACUGUAAACAGCUCUUUAUUCAUAUAGUGCUCUCAUUCUGAACACUUCAAAGUAAAACAAACAGUCAUCUUGAUUAAAAUUCAAAUUGACAAAUUUUCAAUAAAUUACAUGAACAUAUGUAUAAAAAAGUUCUUUCAGUAAAGAAUGUGAACAGUUGCAGAGAAAUGCCAUUCUAUCUCACGGCCAGUAUUCAGUGGAUUAAACUCAUUUGAUUGAUUGAAUUUUGAUGUUAAAUGUCACAAAUUGAUCUAAAUGUGCUUGAGAAAAAAAUAAUAAAAUUAUCCUGCACUUUUUGAACAAAUGUUCAAAAUACAAUGGCACUGGU